Molecule: non-coding RNA, 203 nt
Filed under: Oscillibacter sp.
Lineage: Bacteria; Bacillati; Bacillota; Clostridia; Eubacteriales; Oscillospiraceae
Description: T-box sequence
Rfam family: T-box leader
About the family: Uncharged tRNA acts as the effector for transcription antitermination of genes in the T-box leader family. T-boxes are found upstream of many aminoacyl-tRNA synthetase genes and some amino acid biosynthetic genes usually in Gram-positive bacteria.
Source: RNAcentral
UCAAAGGCUGUGACAGGGAGAAGUAUCCUUUUAUUCCCGGACAAGAGAGAGGACGGUUGGUGUGAGUCCUUGCGGGGGAGGGGAGAAGGCGCCCUGGAGCUGCGGAGCGGAAAUGCUUCGCCGGUCCCCGCCGUUAUUGGGCAGAGUGUCCCCCAUGGGGGAAAUUCAGGUGGAACCACGGACUAACAAAGUUCGCCCUGAGC